RNAcentral lists this ribosomal RNA (254 nucleotides) under uncultured bacterium. Its description in RNAcentral is "partial 16S ribosomal RNA". It matches the Rfam family "Bacterial small subunit ribosomal RNA", at positions 524 to 776 of the family's 1533-position model. The record is from RNAcentral.
CACGUAGGGUGCAAGCGUUGUCCGGAAUCAUUGGGCGUAAAGAGCUCGUAGGCGGCUUAGUAAGUCGGGUGUGAAACCUCCAGGCUCAACCUGGAGACGCCACCCGAUACUGCUAUAGCUAGAGUCCAGUAGGGGAGUGCGGAAUUCCCGGUGUAGCGGUGAAAUGCGCAGAUAUCGGGAGGAACACCAGCGGCGAAGGCGGCACUCUGGGCUGGAACUGACGCUCAGGAGCGAAAGCGUGGGUAGCGAACAGG